UACCCUUGACAUGUCCGGAAGCCCGCUGAGAGGCGGGCGUGCCCGAAAGGGAAUCGGAACACAGGUGCUGCAUGGCUGUCGUCAGCUCGUGUCGUGAGAUGUUGGGUUAAGUCCCGCAACGAGCGCAACCCUUGUCAUUAGUUGCUACAUUUAGUUGGGCACUCUAAUGAGACUGCCGGUGACAAACCGGAGGAAGGUGGGGAUGACGUCGUCGGAUUCUAAG
RNAcentral lists this unclassified non-coding RNA (223 nucleotides) under uncultured Gammaproteobacteria bacterium. Its description in RNAcentral is "contains 16S-23S intergenic spacer region". It matches the Rfam family "Bacterial small subunit ribosomal RNA", at positions 980 to 1197 of the family's 1533-position model. Lineage: Bacteria; Pseudomonadati; Pseudomonadota; Gammaproteobacteria. The record is from RNAcentral.